UGUUGACCUCGGAUCAGGUAGGAAUACCCCGCUGAACUUAAGCAUAU
This 47-nucleotide ribosomal RNA is filed under the name Fusarium sp. RNAcentral's name for it is "partial 28S ribosomal RNA". Lineage: Eukaryota; Fungi; Ascomycota; Sordariomycetes; Hypocreales; Nectriaceae. The record is from RNAcentral.